RNAcentral lists this ribosomal RNA (279 nucleotides) under uncultured bacterium. RNAcentral's name for it is "partial 16S ribosomal RNA". It matches the Rfam family "Bacterial small subunit ribosomal RNA", at positions 506 to 784 of the family's 1533-position model. The record is from RNAcentral.
UGCCAGCAGCCGCGGUAAUACGGAGGGUGCAAGCGUUGUCCGGAUUUACUGGGUGUAAAGGGUGCGUAGGCGGCGCGGUUAGUCGGAUGUGAAAUCGUACAGCUCAACUGUACAACUGCGUCCGAUACUGCCGUGCUUGAGGAAGGCAGAGGUGAGCGGAACUCAGGGUGGAGCGGUGAAAUGCGUUGAUAUCCUGGGGAACACCGGUGGCGAAGGCGGCUCACUGGGCCUUUUCUGACGCUGAGGCACGAAAGCUAGGGUAGCGAACAGGAUUAGAUA